UACAGAGGGUGCAAGCGUUAAUCGGAAUUACUGGGCGUAAAGCGCGCGUAGGUGGUUUGUUAAGUUGGACGUGAAAUCCCCGGCUCAACCUGGGAAUUGCGUUGGAGACUGCAAGGCUGGAGUCUGGCAGAGGGGGGUGAGAAUUCCACGUGUAGCAGUGAAAUGACGUAGAGAUGUGGAGGAACACCGAUGGCGAAGGACAGC
This 204-nucleotide ribosomal RNA is filed under the name uncultured bacterium. RNAcentral's name for it is "partial 16S ribosomal RNA". It matches the Rfam family "Bacterial small subunit ribosomal RNA", at positions 524 to 725 of the family's 1533-position model. The record is from RNAcentral.